RNAcentral lists this ribosomal RNA (303 nucleotides) under uncultured bacterium. RNAcentral's name for it is "partial 16S ribosomal RNA". It matches the Rfam family "Bacterial small subunit ribosomal RNA", at positions 507 to 808 of the family's 1533-position model. The record is from RNAcentral.
AGCAGUAGCCGCGGUAAUACGGAGGGAGCUAGCGUUGUUCGGAAUUACUGGGCGUAAAGCGCACGUAGGCGGCUUUGUAAGUUAGAGGUGAAAGCCUGGAGCUCAACUCCAGAAUUGCCUUUAAGACUGCAUCGCUUGAAUCCAGGAGAGGUGAGUGGAAUUCCGAGUGUAGAGGUGAAAUUCGUAGAUAUUCGCAAGAACACCAGUGGCGAAGGCGGCUCACUGGCCCGAUACUGACGCUGAGGUGCGAAAGCGUGGGGAGCAAACAGGAUUAGAUACCCAGUAGUCCCUGUCUCUUAUACA